Molecule: non-coding RNA, 23 nt
Filed under: Arabidopsis thaliana (thale cress)
Lineage: Eukaryota; Viridiplantae; Streptophyta; Magnoliopsida; Brassicales; Brassicaceae
Source: RNAcentral
CCAGAUUCGACUUUCAGUGACUA